Hemicordylus capensis (graceful crag lizard) is the source of this 5233-nucleotide RNA transcript. It is a transcript of the gene named leucine-rich repeat-containing protein 37B-like, with no coding region annotated. The record is from RefSeq and is a predicted model, not a curated record. NCBI's taxonomy places the organism in Eukaryota, Metazoa, Chordata, Lepidosauria, Squamata, Cordylidae. The transcript is spliced from 8 exons.
CCUCAGCAGCAACUACCCCCGCAGGGAGGGAGGAAAGGAAGGGGAGGCAGCUCCGACCCGGAAGGAGAAACUGGGAGUGGCGGAAGUCGAAACCGCUUUCCUCGGCGCCGCCUUCCGAAUGAGGGUGUUCCUUUUCCUUUGCCUGCCCACUCGGCUUGUUUUCGCUUCAUCCGCGCGUGACUGUCCGUGGCAUAAAGCUGGAGUGACGCCUGUUUCGCGAGACUUGGCUUAACGUUCACUGGGCCUUCAAAUGCAGUCUAGGGUCGUUAUGUACUUCAGAGCGUCUUAGACGUGUUAGAUGUUCUGAAGUAACAAUGGACUGCAUUUCAGGGUUGUUGUGAACCCGCCUUUCAGCCUUGCCUCUAACCUGCGUUAUGAGAGACGGGGGCUGAGCCCACGCUCCUCCUCUACAAUAUGGGAUAAUAAUGAUGGGCUGCUUUUACACUUUCAUUGUCAGGACAUUAAAAAAAAGUUUAUAUAACUUUUUAAAAGGCACGAAAAUACUUUUUUCAUCCAAAAUAGAAAAAGCAUGAAAAUUUUUCCUCAUGUUUACUAUCUGUUUUGCUAGGGUCCAUGUUGAUGUCAAUCUACAGCUACAGUAAAAUUCUAGAUUUCUCCAUUGUUGGCAGCUGUCACUUUUGCCCCAGAAAGAAAGAAAAUGGAAAUGACGUGGAAGUCCUGUCUUCACACAAAACUGAACUGUCAGUCUAACCUUUUCUAUGUUUGUGUUUCUUCCCCUACUCCUUCAUCUGUCUCUAAAGCGGAGGUCAUGCUCAGCCGCCUGGUGCAGUGACCACACCAGCUAGGACAGACUAAAGAGAAUUUGGGGGGCCCCAGGGGGUGUGAAAGCCCUGGACGUUGGCCCAGAAGUCCAGAGGGACUUGUCAAGUAAUGCAAUCCAGACCAUUGAGAUGAAUUCACGUGAAGCUGUCCCGUUUGUGCAGCUUAUAGACCUCAGCGGCAAUCUCACUGAGAAUCUCACUCAUGGGGCAUUCGAGGUCCGGCAUGGAAUGCAGUUUAUCAAGACGGUUCUCAACCAUCAUCCGCUGAAAGGCAUUGAUGAUGCCAGUUUUUACAGGCUUCCCUCACUGAAGCUUCUAGACCUUAGUUCUACAGAAAUGACCCCAAAGAUAUUGGAGGCCCUGCUCCAGUCAUCCCAGCAAUUGAAGACUCUAGAAAGAUGAGGCUUUGAAUAGGGUGCAAAAAGAAGUAAGGAAGGUGUUGGAAAUCAGGAAGCUGAAUACCAGCAGUACAUGGGGCAGGCAAAGGACAGCGUUGCUGCACAGGUCUGACCAAGCAGCACACUGGUCUGCUUGGAAGUGGUCUGUUAUGCAGUCCACAACUAGCAUCCCGUGGUUGACAGCUACCAUCAUAAUGGAUAAUGACGCUGCUGACUUGACUAGCAGAGUACCGAUCAUUCUGAAACAUGCCAAUGAGUCAAGCCAGCAAGACUGCUUUCUGGAUGAGGAAGAAACAGAGGAUACCAGUACGACUACUUGCAGUACUAAGACCACAAAUACCACUAGCACCACUUGUCCCAUUAGUCAGAGUUCACUAGUGGAGGGUAAUUCCAGCUCUUCCCAAAAUGAACCUAGUGAAGGGAACGCAGAACAGACAUCAGAUAAUGCACCAUUAAUGACUGAGGAGGUGCUUCGCAACAGGCUAAUGCAUGGAACUCAGAAAGAUGGUGCACCUCAAAUCCCAGGUGAUAACAAAGAGGCACCCCAGAUCCCAGGAGAUGAGACAGAUGCAUGCUUAAACAAUAUCUCCCCUAAAAAAAUGUCCCAUGGGACACACUGGGAGCAUCAUGAAGUGAAGACCACUGCGCGCCACAAGCUGAACAUCUUGACGACUGAUAAUGUCUCCUGGCUUCAGGGGAACAAUAAUCAAGCUGGUCUGAACAAGCGGCGAUCACCCCUUAUCCUGAACACAUCAGUGAGGAAACGCAUAUCCCACGUGAUCCGUAUGCUCAAAGUGGACUGCACAGAAUCAAAGGUCCAGCUGGCUUGUGCUAAGUUAAUCUCCACACUAAGUCUCCUCAUGAACCUCUUCAGCAGAGAGAAAACAUCAAGGAGACUUCCACCCUGUGGAAGUCAUACUGCUGGCCUAUGAAGAAUGUCACCAACAUGACCACAGGAAGUCCAAGAAAACUGGGGACACCUGAGGGGGACCUUCAUGAAGCUACUCUGAACAAGCGGCAAAUGCCCAUUAUCCCAAACACACGAGUGAGGAAACGCAUAUCCCUCUCACAGCAGACCUCAGAGAAGGCACCAUUAAUGACUAAGGAGGCUCUGCUCAACCAGGUAAAGCAUGGAACUCAGCAAGCUGGCGCAUCCCUAAUCCCAGGAGCUAACAAAGAGGCACUCCAAAUCCCAGGAGAUGACACAGAGGUGUGCUUAAACAAGAUCUCCCCUAAUAAAACGUCCCAUGAGACAAACUGGGAUCAUCAUGAAGUGAAGUCCACUGCUCUCCACAGGCUGAAGAUCUUGCCGACUGAUGAUGUCUACUUGCUUAAGCAGUUCCGUUAUGAAGCUAGUCUGAACAAAUGGCAAACCCUCCUAUCCCAAAAACACGAGUGAGGAAACGCAUAUCCCUCUCACAUCAGACCUCAGAGAAGGCACCAUUAAUGACUAAGGAGGCUCUGCUCAACCAGGUAAUGCAUGGAACUCAGCAAGGUGGCACAUCCCUAAUCCCAGGAGCAAACAAAGAGGCACUCCAAAUCCCAGGAGAUGACACAGAGGCCAGCUUAAACAAGAUCUCCCCUAAUAAAACAUCCCAUGAGACAAACUGGGAGCAUCAUGAAGUGAAGUCCACUGCUCUCCACAGGCUGAAGAUCUUGCCGACUGAUGAUGUCUACUUGCUUCAGCAGUUCCAUUAUGAAGCUAAUCUGAAUGGCAAAGUCAAAGUUCUUUAUUUGCGACCCAAGGUCAGCAUAACAUAACAUAACAACAUCUCAUAGCACAGAGAAAUACAAUAAGGAAGUAAAAUAUUUAAAUAUAUAGAUGGAUAUCCACAAACAAAUAAUCAUUUAAAAUUUUAUAAUUAAUCAAGGAAAAGCUCGCUGCCACAACAGUACUGCAAUAGAACAGAAUUUAGCCACCUUAAAGGUGACAUCUAAAGUUCUAUCCGCAAGAAGAUAGGAAACAUAAAAACCUCCAGAGCAACCUGGGAAGGGUGUCAGAAGAGGAGUAAGUAAGGAAUAUCUUAAAUUUCUAUAUAAUGGACAGCGCAACAAAACAUGUUGUAUGGAUUCGACUUCCCCCAUACCACAUGGGCAUAAUCUAUCCUCUCUAGGAAUCCCCAGAAACCUCCCUGAGAGCACCGCUGAGGGUAACAUAUCAAAUCUUGCUCUAAAAAAGGCCCUCUGAUAGCAUGUCAAGCUCAGGGCAUUCAAGUAAGCAGCAGGGUCCCAACUAAAACUGCUCAAACCCAGCCUCCUUUUAGUGCAAUCAGGGAUUCGGGAAAGUUCUUGUUGGAUUUCGAAGUCCAAGAGUCUUUGUUUCAGGAUCUGCCUGGCCUGGUUGUGACUUAACAGGACCAGGUAGUCCAUGGACAGACCCAAGGACACAAUUUUGUCCUGGAUAGCCUGGUCCCAGGUGGGCUGGAAUACAUCAGCCAGGAUAAGGGAAAUCCAUCCUCGGGGUGAAAAUCUGAUUUUAAGCCAAUAGGUCAAAAUAGACAGCCAGGCCCAGACCUCGAUCUUCAGAACACCCAACUCGAACCUUAAUAAUGCACUGGGGACACAUCUAGGUACUCUAAGUAGAGCCCUAAGGAAGUCAUUUUGAACUGCAUCCAUAGACUUGUAUGAAGGAAAAGGACCAAGUUGCGCCCCAUAUAAUAGCUGGCUCCUGACUUUGGCCACAAAUAAUUUCAAGGCGGCCGAUAUGAUCUCACCUCCUUUAGAAUAGAAAAAUCUCCAGAUAGCCAGAGAACUUCUCCGUGCAGUAAGAGUAACUUGAUCUGUAUGCGCCUUCCAUGAACCCGUUGCUUGCAGGGUCACACCUAAAUAUCUAUAUGUAUAGACCUGUUCUAACUGUUGAUCCUCAAUCGACCAUCUUAACAGCUUGUGCCUUCUUGAAAAAAUCAUGACUUUGGAUUUUGAGUGAUUGAUCAAAAGAUAAUUGGCUCUACAGUAGAGGUCUAAUCUUUUCAAUGCUCGCCUCAGGCCCACCGCGGCCCUAGCUAAAAUAGCAGCAUCGUCUGCAUAAAGAAGUAGAGGAAUACACACACCUGCUGCAGAUGGCGAAUGUAGGCUAGGGUCGGUUAAACAGGGGGCCAAAUCAUUGAGAUAUAAAUUGAAAAGCGAGAGGGCAAGGAUACAUCCCUGCCUCACUCCUGUAUAGGUUGUGAGAGUUCGCCUUUAGGAUGACAUCUAACCCUGAUGCUCACCACAAGCUGAACAUCUUGCCGACUGAUGAUGUCUAUUUGCUUCAGCAGUUCCGUUAUGAAGCUAGUCUGAACAAAUGGCAAACGCCCCCUAUCCCAAAAACAUGAGUAAGGAAGCGCAUAUCCCUCUCACAGCAGACCUCAGAGAAGGUACCAUUAAUGACUAAGGAGGCUCUGCUCAACCAGGUAAUGCAUGGAACUCAGCAAGGUGGUGCAUCCCUAAUCCCAGGAUAUAACAAAGAGGUACCCCAAAUCCCUGGAGAUGAUACAGAGGCCAGCUUAAACAAGAUCUCCCCUAACAAAGCUUGCCAUGGGACAAACUGGGAGCAUCAUGAAGUGAAGACCACUGCUCUCCACAGGCUGAAGAUCUUGCCGACUGAUGAUUAGCCAAAGACAGAUUCCAGAUGCUUUGUGAGAAUAUGGGAUUCAUGACCAGGUGCGACAGGUGAUGAGAAGGUGUGUUGGAGAUGAAUUUCCAGUGCAUCGACCUUUUGCACCAACUGUCCUAAUGACCACUAAGGGCAUUGGGAGUAGAGACAGUGAGUCAGGGUCUCCCUAUCUGUCCCUACUCGAUGACCCCUGAACUGACUCUGCUGCACUUCCUGUGCUGCAUCACAAUCCUUCCUUUCCUCCUAGAGAGCAGAUGGAAACAUCUCUCUCUCUCCUUACCUAUCCACUAUGUAGUCCUUUAGAUUAGAGAUAGGUCUUUCCUAUCUAAGUGUAUUUAACCAAUAAAUAUUUAGUGUUUAGUCAUACAAGGAUCUCCAUGUGUUUUCUUUAAAUAGCUGCAAUAUCCAAACCAUCCUCUGCUACCUACUCUGUAACUGGAGUGUGUGCUCAUUCCUUA